Molecule: ribosomal RNA, 373 nt
Filed under: uncultured bacterium
Lineage: Bacteria
Description: partial 16S ribosomal RNA
Rfam family: Bacterial small subunit ribosomal RNA
Source: RNAcentral
UAUCCAGACUCCUACGGGAGGCAGCAGUGAGGAAUAUUGGUCAAUGGGCGGGAGCCUGAACCAGCCAAGUCGCGUGAGGGAUGACGGCCCUAUGGGUUGUAAACCUCUUUUGCCGGGGAGCAAAGUGCCGCACGUGUGCGGUUUGGAGAGUACCCGGAGAAAAAGCAUCGGCUAACUACGUGCCAGCAGCCGCGGUAAUACGUAGGGAGCAAGCGUUAUCCGGAUUUAUUGGGUGUAAAGGGUGCGUAGACGGGAAGGCAAGUUGGUUGUGAAAUCCCUCGGCUUAACGGAGGAACUUCAACCAAAACUAUCUUUCUUGAGUGCUGGAGAGGAAAGUGGAAUUCCUAGUGUAGCGGUGAAAUGCGUAGAUAUU